GGGGCGAGCCUGAUCCAGCCAUUCCGCGUGAGUGAAGAAGGCCUUCGGGUUGUAAAGCUCUUUCGCAAGGGAAGAAACGAUGCAGUCGAAUAAACUGCGUUAAUGACGGUACCUUGAUAAGAAGCACCGGCUAACUACGUGCCAGCAGCCGCGGUAAUACGUAGGGUGCGAGCGUUAAUCGGAAUUACUGGGCGUAAAGCGUGCGCAGGCGGUUUUGUAAGUCAGAUGUGAAAUCCCCGGGCUCAACCUGGGAACUGCGUUUGAAACUACAAGGCUAGAGUGUAGCAGAGGGGGGUAGAAUUCCACGUGUAGCAGUGAAAUGCGUAGAGAUGUGGAGGAAUACCAAUGGCGAAGGCAGCCCCCUGGGUUAACACUGACGCUCAUGCACGAAAGCGUGGGGAGCAAACAGGAUUAGAUACCCUGGUAGUCCACGCCCUAAACGAUGUCUACUAGUUGUUGGUGGAGUAAAAUCCAUUAGUAACGCAGCUAACGCGUGAAGUAGACCGCCUGGGGAGUACGGUCGCAAGAUUAAAACUCAAUGA
This 542-nucleotide ribosomal RNA is filed under the name methylotrophic bacterium enrichment culture. RNAcentral describes it as "bacterial SSU rRNA". It matches the Rfam family "Bacterial small subunit ribosomal RNA", at positions 374 to 907 of the family's 1533-position model. The record is from RNAcentral.